UCCCUGGUGGCUCAGACGGUAAAGCGUCCGCCUACAAUGUGGGAGACCUGGGUUCGAUCCCCGGGUUGGGAA
Bos taurus (domestic cattle) is the source of this 72-nucleotide non-coding RNA. Lineage: Eukaryota; Metazoa; Chordata; Mammalia; Artiodactyla; Bovidae. The record is from Rfam.